AACGAACGCUGGCGGCGUGGAUAAGACAUGCAAGUCGAACGGGAACUUCAGCUGUAGCAAUACAGUUGAAGUUUUAGUGGCGAACGGGUGCGUAACACGUGGGCAAUCUGCCGAGAAGUGGGGGAUAGCUCGCCGAAAGGCGAAUUAAUACCGCAUAUGAUCAGCUAAGACAUCUUAGCGACAUCAAAGCCGGGGCAACCUGGCGCUUUUUGAGGAGCCCGCGGCCUAUCAGCUAGUUGGUGAGGUAACGGCUCACCAAGGCUAUGACGGGUAGCUGGUCUGAGAGGACGACCAGUCACACUGGAACUGAGACACGGUCCAGACACCUACGGGUGGCAGCAGUCGAGAAUUUUUCUCAAUGGGGCAACCCUGAAGGAGCGACGCGCGUGGAGGAUGAAGGCUUUCGGGUUGUAAACUCCUGUCAUUUGAGAACAAGGUGCAUCGGUUAACUGCCGGUGCAUUGAUAGUAUCAGAA
This 475-nucleotide ribosomal RNA is filed under the name uncultured bacterium. RNAcentral's name for it is "bacterial SSU rRNA". It matches the Rfam family "Bacterial small subunit ribosomal RNA", at positions 29 to 483 of the family's 1533-position model. The record is from RNAcentral.